AUGGCGCAGGCUGCCGUCGAGCCCGCGGCGAGCGGCGGCGCGUUCAUCGGGAGGCCGGCCGAGGCCCCGAGGNNNNNNNNNNNNNNNNNNNNNNNNNNNNNNGAAGAGCAGUUGAAGCGACGCAUGUCUGAAAAGGUUGCCAAUGAUCAGUCACUCCCUUCCGCGGCGUUUGAUAGGCCAAGCAAUGCGCCUCGGAACCCAGAGCAGCAGAAAAUAUCCAAAUACAUCAGCACUCGUGUCACAGAGGUGUUCCCAGUUAAAAAAUCCAGAAACGCCGGGAAGGAAAAUUGUAAGGAUGCUUUACUGAACAAUGAGAAGGCUCCCAAGUCUGCUGAUGCUGUAACGGCUUCACAGUCUGCAGAAUCUCCGUUUUCACGCAGCAAUGGCGACUCUGCCCAGUUGGACUCUUCUGUUCCAUCGCUCGCGGAAGCAGCAAAACCAGGUUUUAGGAAAGCUGAAAAAUGCAGCAAGAAUGCUUUGCGGAGUGUAUCAGAGCUUCACAUUGGCGAUGAGAAGCAGGCUGGCUCUAGCAAAUUUGACAUGGACAAAGUGAUGAAAGGGUUCGGAGCUCGUGGUGCUUCUGGAGCUUCCAGUGGCACUAACAUACAGGCUGGUGAUGUUCCUUUGAAGUCUUCAGAGGUGUGCCCUUCCAAGAUCACAAUACCAGGAAAAAGAGCUCCUUUGGAUCUCACCUUGAAGACAACCCUGCAGUUUGUUUCAUCAUCUUCUGUGAAGUGGUGUCACAAUUUGAGUACAAGUUGUAGGGGCACUGUUGCUGGAGGUAGGUCUCAAAGUUCAGGACGCACGAGGCAAGAGAGCAACAAGGAAUUCUUGUUCUCGAAGGCACUGCAGUCAUGGGUAUACCCACAAUCCAUGUUACCUGCUCCCAUUGUAUCUGCUAUGCUCUCAUCAACUGCACGAGGAGAAAAAGAUUUCAUUCACAAAAGGUAUCAGGAUUGGGAAGAUUCUUUUCAGAAUCUUUACUACAUGUUCCGGAAGAAUCUGCUGAAUAUCUUCUAUGUUUGUACGGCACAAUUUGUUGCUCUAUUUAUCAGCGGAAACUGUUUGGAGAAGCAGUCCUGUAAUGCCUACCUAUCACAAUCUACACGUGGCAUGAGGUCACUACUACGAAAACAGGGUGUUUCCUUUUCUAUGCCCCUUUGCAAGGCCGAAAUGGAGCAGGCUACCGAAGACGACCUGAUCGAAUUCUCAAAAAUCCGAACACUCAACCUGGGCCAGACACUUCAUAUAGAUGCUUUAUCCGAGGUGGACAACACCACGCAGUCACUCCUUUCAUUUACUGGCAAUAAGAGCGUUCAUGGCUUAUAUGAUGUCUUGUUGAACUACAAGUCCUUUCUGAAUUCAUUAUCUGCCACAGACGUCCCAGUGCUAUAUUCACCGGUGCCAUUUCGAAAUGGUUCCCUCCAUAUUCCGGAGGUAAUAUGCAGGGAGAUGAGGAAAGCCGACAGCGGCCUGGCCUCGUCUAGCGUUUUGGAUGAUGCAGGAGAACCUGGAUCAGCAGCGUCUGAUCCUCCUCUUGCGGCGGGCAGCGUGUGCUACAGCAUGGAGAUAAAGGACGCGGCUCUCCCGCCGUGGGUCGUCUCGGGCGUCUGCGCCGCGAUGACCUCAGACACGGACCGCUUUGAUCUGACGAUCGCGACGGAGCCCUCCUCCUUGGGCCUGAACGCCGCCUUGGCAUCCCUAGGCGGCGGCGCCCAGUCGAAGACGACGCCACCGGAAGGCGGCUGUGAGGCCUUGGUUGUCCCUGGCGCCGUCCUGGUCCCCUUGCUGCGCUCGGCGGCGCUCCGGGGACUAAGGUACGAACGCGGCGAGUACCUCGCGCGCACGACCGCGUGA
RNAcentral lists this ribosomal RNA (1857 nucleotides) under Triticum aestivum (bread wheat). RNAcentral describes it as "partial small subunit ribosomal RNA". The record is from RNAcentral. Lineage: Eukaryota; Viridiplantae; Streptophyta; Magnoliopsida; Poales; Poaceae.